GUUUCGAAUUUUGAUUUGAAAUUUUGUGACAAGAGACAUCGAUGUUCCGUCGAUCUACUGCAUUUUUUUCAGAUUUUUUUGAACAUUUUAAAAAUAUUUUUCAGACAUUUGGAGCACCGGGAGCACCCCAAGCCUGGGAGCACUAGAUACUUUCCCGCGAUGGUGAAUGGAUGCAGUUGUAUGCUUCUUUCUUGUUCUUGGUGUUCAACAGAAUUAAGUUGCAAGUUUAUUAUGCCUAGAGCUGUUAUUUUGUGUAUGUACUAUAGCCUGUAUAUUUGCCAAACUGUGUGAAUUCUCCUAUGACCCGAUAUAAAUUUUAGCUAUCAUUUAGUUUAUCAAUUCAGAACUAAUUUUUUUAUGUUGGUUUUGUGAACCCAAUUGCUGCUGUCAGAUGGAGCUGUUUUGUUGGAGAAGUUUUGUGGCUGGGGCAAUGCCACCAAUGAUGAGGGGCCUCGACCCUGAUAGAUUAUCUACUGUUGACAUGUUUGAUUUGCAGAGCAGAUGUUGCACGAAGAAACAAGAAACAUGUUUGAUUUACAGGGUGAUGCUGCACUAAUUCUUCAGUUUGUUGUCUUUCCAAUCCAAAAGAAAAAUUAGGGAUGCCUAAGAUCAGCGAUGAGGCAGUGGCAUGCGCUCGUCCUCUCAGCCCAUGUUUUGCUGCCAUGGUGCCCUUCACUUACGUCCGCCUCUAGAUGGCGCUUGCAACACCUAUCCCUUUCCGCAGCUCAUCCAUAAUGCAGGACAACACCACUAAUAUCUCAACAUGUGAUUGGUGGUCGAAGAACAAAAAACUUGGACUCAUGUUCACAACCUUGGAGGAGGGAAACAUCAAAAGUUCGUUAGUGCAGGACUGUGCUGGGUAGCAUGUGAGGCCCCAACCGACGCAGUCGUGCACCAAAGGCCCAGUACACAUAUACACUACAUCGUGGACUGUGAUCGCUGUGUCUACUGGGACUAUUUAGUGUCCAGUUUUUUUGGUAAUGGAACAUUUUGGCCUACAUAAAUGGAUUCCAGGAGAACAUGAUGCGAGCAGUACCGGCAAAAGCAUGUGUGGUUAGAUAUUUGUUCGGAGGAAUCAUUACAAGAAAAUGUGAAAGAGCAAGGUCUGGGAAGGAUAUGAAAGGAAGCAUUGAUAUUCAUGACGGAGUGCUAGUUAUAGGAUGACAGCCGGCUUGAGGAUGAGGGUAGCUUUCUUUCUGUUGGUUAAAGAUCUUGUGGGUUCCCCUGACGCUAACUAUGUCUAUAUUAUUGGUAUGUGACCUGCACAUGUUAUGCUUAGAUGCACUUCUAAAUUUCUUACAUGCGUAUACAUAUUUUAUUUAUUUAUUUUAUCACUAAUUUCUACUAGAACCUGAGUAUUGAUCUCAUGCAUGCUUAUACAUAAUUACUAUUGAUUUACAACCAUUUGUGAU
Long non-coding RNA from Triticum aestivum (bread wheat), 1412 nucleotides. RefSeq lists it as uncharacterized. NCBI's taxonomy places the organism in Eukaryota, Viridiplantae, Streptophyta, Magnoliopsida, Poales, Poaceae. The record is from RefSeq and is a predicted model, not a curated record. The transcript is spliced from 4 exons.